ACAAACUGCCCUUCUUACAUGAACAAUAAAUGUCUUGUUGAUACAAACAAUAAUGUAACAUGGAUUUGUAAUCUGGUUUCUCUCUAUUCCGGAUAAAUGUCCAUAAUUUAUCUCUGCAAAGCAUAAAUUACAGAACUUGUGGUAUAUUGAUAUUCUAUCAAGCAGAUACAUCCCCAAGAGCAUCCACGCCAGCAACCUCUCUAACAAGAUGAACAUUUCUGGCUGAAGGCAAACCAGCAACCACGUUCCCUUCAAUGCCACACUCAUUUUUUCCUCUCCUCAUCUUGAAGUAACCGUC
This 298-nucleotide unclassified non-coding RNA is filed under the name Hevea brasiliensis (rubber tree). The record is from RNAcentral. Lineage: Eukaryota; Viridiplantae; Streptophyta; Magnoliopsida; Malpighiales; Euphorbiaceae.